This is a non-coding RNA of Potamilus streckersoni, 73 nucleotides long. NCBI's taxonomy places the organism in Eukaryota, Metazoa, Mollusca, Bivalvia, Unionida, Unionidae. The record is from the annotation of a GenBank genome assembly.
GCUCCGGUGGCCUUGUGGUUAGAGCGUCCACCUCAGAUGUGGGAGGUCGCGGGUUCGAAAUCCGACUGGACCA